UUAAAUCAAGGGAUACCAAAUGGAAGCGAAGAAAAAGACAUGCUGCUGUGGUGCUGAUCCGCCAGAACUACGUCCACAUAGACGUUAUAGUGAGCAGACGGAUCCAGAACGCUGAUGUUGAAGCUCAGGAAGGGGAACAUCCUCCUGGAUAAACACAGAGGUAAACAUAAUUAAUUUUUCGAAUAUCA
Long non-coding RNA from Sander lucioperca (pikeperch), 188 nucleotides. RefSeq lists it as uncharacterized. NCBI's taxonomy places the organism in Eukaryota, Metazoa, Chordata, Actinopteri, Perciformes, Percidae. The record is from RefSeq and is a predicted model, not a curated record. The transcript is spliced from 2 exons.